GUAGGUGAACCUGCGGAAGGAUCAUUAUUGAAUGAACUUGGUGUGGUUGUUGCUGGUCCUUUCGGGGGCAUGUGCACGCCCACCAUCCUCAUCUCUCCACCUGUGCACCUCUUGUAGACUUGGAUUGACUUUCCGAGGCAACUCGGUCGGGAGGAUUGCUGGCAUCAGCUGGCUUUCUUUGCAUUUCCGGGUCUACGUUUUUCAUAUACCCCAUUGUAUGUAACAGAAUGUCAUAUUGGGCCCUUGUGCC
Molecule: unclassified non-coding RNA, 250 nt
Filed under: plant metagenome
Description: partial contains small subunit ribosomal RNA, internal transcribed spacer 1, and 5.8S ribosomal RNA
Source: RNAcentral